Molecule: ribosomal RNA, 691 nt
Filed under: Ditylenchus gallaeformans
Lineage: Eukaryota; Metazoa; Nematoda; Chromadorea; Rhabditida; Anguinidae
Description: eukaryotic LSU rRNA
Rfam family: Eukaryotic large subunit ribosomal RNA
Source: RNAcentral
CGUGAAACCGAUAAGGUGGAAACGGAUAGAGCUGACGUAUCUAGCCUGUAUUCAGUUGUUUGUAUGUGUGUAAGCCUGGUAGCUGGUCCUGCUUUUGGCCGGUUAGUUGGUUUUUGCGCACAUAUAUGGGCAAUGCAUUUGCAGGUGGAGUGCGCUGAGGCGUACACUUCAGCGGUUGAAUCCCUGCUUUGAGGUCUCAUCUUUUGUGUGAGGUGCCCGGGUAGGAGUGUAAGACUGUUUGUUGUGUGUGACGCGUAGGAUAUGGUUUUCGAGUCGGCUGUUGGCUGAUAGGAUGGUAGGCGGUAAUCGCAUGCGAAUGCCACUAUUUGUUCGAUUAGUCAAUGGUGCAGGCUCACUUAUCCGACCUCGGUGUAAAAGUUGGUCAUCUAUCCGACCCGUCUUGAAACACGGACCAAGGAGUUUAGCGUGUACGCGAGUCAUUGAGUGUUAAAAACUUAAAGGCGUAAUGAAAGUAAAAGUGUCCCUUUUGUGGAACUGAUAUGCGAUCUUGGGUGCUUCGGUGCCUUAGGAGCAGCAUAGCCCCAUUCGAAUUGCUUGCAAUAGGGUGGAGGUAGAGCGUAUUCGCUGAGACCCGAAAGAUGGUGAACUAUGCCUGAGCAGGAUGAAGCCAGAGGAAACUCUGGUGGAAGUCCGAAGCGGUUCUGACGUGCAAAUCGAUCGUCUGACUUGG